Molecule: long non-coding RNA, 473 nt
Filed under: Homo sapiens (human)
Lineage: Eukaryota; Metazoa; Chordata; Mammalia; Primates; Hominidae
Description: HSALNT0010630
Source: RNAcentral
GCGAUCAGAGGGCGCGGGCGGUUUCCCACCUGCUGCGGACCGCCGUGCGGGAGCCCAGAGAGCUCCGGCAGCUGGGUUAGGGCGCGACCCGCGCAGUGUGACUGGAAAUCUGGAGCUGGGGGCGCGCAGCAGGCGGUCUGGUGGUUCGGCAGGGGAGCCAAAUCCACCAGGGAAGGAAACAUCUGGUGGGGAGGCGGCGGCAGCUGCGCUCGGGAGGACGCCCCCUUAGCGCCCUCGGCUCCCUCCUUCCUGGGCCCGGACGGUCUCCUCCGGGCUGGGGCUGAGCAAGCCCUCGGAGUGACCGUGGGUGACAGCGGCUCCAGGGACUCUUGGGGCGCAGUGGGGAAAGUGCCGGACCACCAUGCCGCGCUCAUUUCUCGUCAAAAGCAAGAAGGCUCACAGCUACCACCAGCCGCGCUCCCCAGGACCAGACUAUUCCCUCCGUUUAGAGAAUGUACCGGCGCCUAGCCGAG